UACGGAGGGUGCAAGCGUUAUCCGGAUUCACUGGGUUUAAAGGGUGCGUAGGUGGGCAGGUAAGUCAGUGGUGAAAUCUCCGGGCUUAACCCGGAAACUGCUAUUGAUACUAUCUGUCUUGAAUACCGUGGAGGUGAGCGGAAUAUGUCAUGUAGCGGUGAAAUGCUUAGAUAUGACAUAGAACACCAAUUGCGAAGGCAGCUCACUACACGAAUAUUGACACUGAGGCACGAAAGCGUGGGGAUCAAACAGG
This 253-nucleotide ribosomal RNA is filed under the name uncultured bacterium. Its description in RNAcentral is "partial 16S ribosomal RNA". It matches the Rfam family "Bacterial small subunit ribosomal RNA", at positions 524 to 776 of the family's 1533-position model. The record is from RNAcentral.